AGAGCGAACGCUGGCGGCAGGCUUAACACAUGCAAGUCGAGCGCCCCGCAAGGGGAGCGGCAGACGGGAGAGUAACACGUGGGAACGUACCUUUCGGUUCGGAACAACCCAGGGAAACUUGGGCUAAUACCGGAUACGUCCGUAAGGAGAAAGAUUUAUCGCCGAAAGAUCGGCCCGCGUCUGAUUAGCUAGUUGGUGAGGUAACGGCUCACCAAGGCGACGAUCAGUAGCUGGUCUGAGAGGAUGAUCAGCCUCACUGGGACUGAGACACGGCCCAGACUCCUACGGGAGGCAGCAGUGGGGAAUAUUGGACAAUGGGCGCAAGCCUGAUCCAGCCAUGCCGCGUGGGUGAUGAAGGCCCUAGGGUUGUAAAGCCCUUUCGGGCGGGAAGAUAAUGACGGUACCGCGAGAAGAACGCCCGGCUAACGUUCGUGCCAGCAGCCGC
Molecule: ribosomal RNA, 445 nt
Filed under: uncultured bacterium
Lineage: Bacteria
Description: SSU rRNA
Rfam family: Bacterial small subunit ribosomal RNA
Source: RNAcentral